This 509-nucleotide ribosomal RNA is filed under the name uncultured bacterium. RNAcentral describes it as "partial 16S ribosomal RNA". It matches the Rfam family "Bacterial small subunit ribosomal RNA", at positions 30 to 523 of the family's 1533-position model. The record is from RNAcentral.
AUUGAAUGCUGACAGCGUGGAUGAGGCAUGCAAGUCGUACGAAGAAUAGCUUGCUAUUCUUAGUGGCGGAAGGGUUAGUAAUACAUGGGUAACUUGCCUCUAACAUGGGAAUAACGGUUGGAAACGACCGCUAAUACCUGAUGUGGUGCAUCAAGGCAUCUUGAUGUCAUUAAAGUGGGGGAUCGUAAGACCUCGCAGUUAGAGAGAGGCCAAUUGGAUAUCAGCUAGUUGGUGAGGUAAAGGCUCACCAAGGCUAAGACGUCUAGGCGGAUUGAGAGAUUGACCGCCAACACUGGGACUGAGAACUGCCCAGACUCCUACGGGAGGCUGCAGUCGAGAAUCUUUCGCAAUGGGCGAAAGCCUGACGGAGCGACGCUGUGUGAGUGAUGAAGGCCCUCGGGUUGUAAAACUCUUUCGCCUGGGAACAAGAUUAACUAGCUAACAUCUAGUUGAUUUGAGGGUACCAGGUAAAGAAGCACCGGCUAACUACGUGCCAGCAGCCGCGGUAA